UUAAUUCCAGAAUCCUAAUUGGGCAAUUUCUCCUAAAGCCCCAAAUUUUGUUUGGGCCUUUCUUCUCUCGCAGGCCCAGCUUUGGGCUACCGCAACAUGACGCUUCAUUCCCUUUCUCUUUGCCUCGUGCGAGAAGGUUGUUAGGGAAGCACCUUUCUUCUUCUCGAACCUAGAACUCCACCAAUGGGAGUCUUGCGGCGUGCACGGGAAAAUUAUUUCCCUUUCUCUUUGGUUCGCACACACUUCUUCAUCUUCAUGGACAAACCCAGCGUUGAGGUCCUUUCGUCGCGUCGCCAAGGAGAGUUUUUGCUCCUUCUCCGUUCCACGGAGGUCGCGGGGCAGAAAGGGAGAUCCCCUUCUCUUUCUCUUUUCCGUUUUGGACUACUUGUAGGGGAACCACUCUUCUCCUUCGUCUUUGCUCCAGAUCGCGCAUCCAACCCAGCCUAGGGUUAUUCGUCACGCGCGAGAGGCUAGGAGAGCACCAUUCUUCUUCUCCCUUUGUUUUCUUGGUGGUUCGUUUUGCAGGAGGGAGCCGUGAUCUCUUUUCUCUCUGUUCUUGCUCUGAUUCGCGUCGCAAGGGAGAGAGCUUUUUCCCUCUUCUCUUUGGUCUUGACAAGGGUUUGCAGGAAGGGGAUACGCGUUCAGGCGCAGUAGAGGCGAGGCCAAGGCGCGGCGUUGGUUUCUGGGUUUCGUUUGGGAUUUGGGUUUCCUAUACUCGCGUGAGACUCGCGAUUUGGGUGGUUGAUUUUGGUUUCCUUUUCUGCAAGUUUGAAUAGUGAUUUAGAGUUCUCCCAUUGCGACAUUGAGAUUGAGUUGUUCUAAAAUUGAAUUGGGGAUUUGCGUUUUGUUUCUGCAUGUUCUCGGUCUCGCAGGGAAGGGUGUUUCUGGUUCGUUUUGGGUUUGGAUUCUCGCCGUGGUUGCGAGGGCAGCGACAACCAUUACGGGUGGUGGUUGGCAGCGGAGUCGUGGUAGUUGAUUGUGGCGUCUUUGGGCCUGUAGGCCAGCGUUGUAUGUUUGGGUUGGGCUGGCAGAUCUUGAUGGUAUUAGUUAGGCCUGUAAAUUGGUUGUUUCGGCCUGCGUUUGGGUUGGAUUAAUUGGGCCUAAAGACCCAUUCUUGGGCAGUUUUGAAAUGGUUAAUAAUAAGAUGAGGGUUUCACCUGAACCUUUACCUUUUUUAAAAAUUUCAUAUCUAACUUUAAUAAAUAUAUUUUUAUUUCCUUUUCUUUUUUAUUAAAAAGACUUUAAUAAAUAUUUUUUAUUUUAUUUUCUUUCUUAUUAAAGAUAUUCUUCAUCACCUUUAUAACAAUCUAAUUUAAUUUAAAAUUUAAAUAUUAUUUAAUAUAAUUUUAUAUUUCAAUAAUGGUUUAAACCCUCAUUUGGUCCUCAUAUUUGUGUGUCAAUCUUAAGUAGAUCAUUGUAUUUUUUUCGAUCUCAAUCCGGUCCAUAAACUUGUAAAAAUGAGCCAAUUAGGUCUUCUCCGUUAAGUUAUCACUAACUGCGUCUAACUGUGCUGAGCUGUUAUUUUUUUUAUAUGACGUGGUAUUAUAUAUUAAAUUGAAUGGGUGAUCUGUUUUAUAACCAACAAUUCUACGUGGAUAUGUUAAAUUUUUAUAUUUUUCUACUGUCACAGGAAACCCAAAACCCUCCAAGAAUCGCCCCACUGGUCGCGGCGCCUCACCGGUCGCGGCGUCCUCUAGAUCUUUUAUGUUGGGGCUUUUCCAGGUGGCUCUAAUUUUCCGGCAAGCUUCAAACUUUCCGUCGCCGGCUACGAUUUAGAUUAUUUUCCGGUUUGAAUGGAGGCAGCUCGUAGAGAUUGGAGAGGUUAGGGUUUUAGGGUUCUUCCCAACAGCUAAAUCUGGAAAAGUUUCCAUCACAGAUAUCAAUAUGUUCUACAGAGCUGUGGCGGGAUACUUCCCUGAGUACUCCACCAUCUCCACCACCAACAACUAAAACCGUUUUGGGGUUGGAAUCGAAGAGAGGGGUAGAUGAGCAAUCAUCUCCUGAUAAGCACAUUCAUCCUUCUCAGUCAAUUGAACAAUUCCAUCAAGUACUAGUACUUUCCUCUUGAUUUCCCUGAGAAAGUUUGAGAAGCCAAAAACCAUCCAGAAACAACAGUGGAAUGACACUUUGCCUCUGACUCAGGGGCUGAAGCUUUAGCCUUCAAACAACACGAAGGAAUUUCCUUCUCUAUCCCACUCCCAUUACUCGUCUUCCCAUCCAUAGUCUUCGGGCAUUCCAACCUUUUCCUGCGCCGGCCUCCAUAUAUUAUUCUUUUCUUCUUUGGCUCCAGUCUCUGAUGAAUGAUGCGAAAGGCGGAGAGUGAAGCAGAAGCGAAGCGACGAAGGAAGAUGUAUAACAACUAACUCUAAUGAGUGAUGCGAUAGGCAGUGGCGUGAUUCAUUGUGGGUGGUGGCGCACGAUGGAGAAUGAUUGUCCAAUUAGAGGAGCAUGGUGGUAUGCCAUGGCGGCGAGGAUGGUGGGGAAUGAUACUGUUGCGGCGGCUAGCUUCACCUAAAAAAUUCCACGUAAUAUAACACUGCCACAUCAGCAUUUUAAGUGUGCACCACGUCAUCACAGACAUACGGCGUUAGUGAUAACUUAACAGGGAGGACUUAAUUGGCUC
This is a long non-coding RNA of Vigna angularis (adzuki bean), 2623 nucleotides long. RefSeq lists it as uncharacterized. Lineage: Eukaryota; Viridiplantae; Streptophyta; Magnoliopsida; Fabales; Fabaceae. The transcript is spliced from 4 exons. The record is from RefSeq and is a predicted model, not a curated record.